Molecule: unclassified non-coding RNA, 366 nt
Filed under: soil metagenome
Description: partial contains 5.8S ribosomal RNA, internal transcribed spacer 2, and large subunit ribosomal RNA
Rfam family: 5.8S ribosomal RNA (bases 1-120)
Source: RNAcentral
GAUGAAGAACGUAGCGAAAUGCGAUAACUAAUGUGAAUUGCAGAAUUCCGUGAAUCAUCGAGUCUUUGAACGCACAUUGCGCCCCCUGGUAUUCCGGGGGGCAUGCCUGUCCGAGCGUCACUACAACCCUCAAGCCCGGCUUGUGUAAUGGGCGGCCGUCUCUCCCCCCGGGGGGAGACGCCCCCGAAACUCAGUGGGGAUGUCGCGAUACCGAAGCCUCAGCUAAUGGGUAAACCACAGCUGCAAUGGCCGCGGCCGGCGUCCGCCUUCCACGGUCCGUCCGCCUAGCGCGGGCGGCCUUCUCAAGGUUGACCUCGGAUCAGGUAGGGAUACCCGCUGAACUUAAGCAUAUCAAUAAGCGGAGGA